Molecule: long non-coding RNA, 455 nt
Organism: Oncorhynchus keta (chum salmon)
Lineage: Eukaryota; Metazoa; Chordata; Actinopteri; Salmoniformes; Salmonidae
Exons: 4
Source: RefSeq, a predicted model, not a curated record
CAGCCCUGGGAACCCCACAGGUACCAUCACACUGCCUUAGUUAACACCAGCCCUGGGAACCCCACAGGUACCAUCACACUGCCUUAGUGAACCCCACAGGUACCAUCACACUGCCUUAGUGAACCCCACAGGUACCAUCACACUGCCUUAGUGAACCCCACAGGUACCAUCACACUGCCUUAGUGAACCCCACAGGUACCAUCACACUGCCUUAGUGAACCCCACAGGUACCAUCACACUGCCUUAGUGAACCCCACAGGUACCAUCACACUGCCUUAGUGAACCCCACAGGUACCAUCACACUGCCUUAGUGAACCCCACAGGUACCAUCACACUGCCUUAGUUAACACCAGCCCUGGGAACUCCACAGGUACCAUCACACUGCCUUAGUAAACACCAGCCCUGGGAACCCCACAGGUACCAUCACACUGCCUUAGUAAACACCAGUACUGGGA